RNAcentral lists this ribosomal RNA (506 nucleotides) under uncultured bacterium. RNAcentral describes it as "partial 16S ribosomal RNA". It matches the Rfam family "Bacterial small subunit ribosomal RNA", at positions 29 to 523 of the family's 1533-position model. The record is from RNAcentral.
AUUGAACGCUGGCGGCAGGCCUAACACAUGCAAGUCGAACGGCAGCACAGAAGAGCUUGCUCUUUGGGUGGCGAGUGGCGGACGGGUGAGUAAUGUCUGGGAAGCUGCCCGAUGGAGGGGGAUAACUACUGGAAACGGUAGCUAAUACCGCAUAACGUCGCAAGACCAAAGUGGGGGACCUUCGGGCCUCACACCAUCGGAUGUGCCCAGAUGGGAUGAGCUAGUAGGUGGGGUAAUGGCUCACCUAGGCGACGAUCCCUAGCUGGUCUGAGAGGAUGACCAGCCACACUGGAACUGGGAAACGGUCCAGACUCCUACGGGAGGCAGCAUUGGGGAAUAUUGCACAAUGGGCGAAAGCCUGAUGCAGCCAUGCCGCGUGUAUGAAGAAGGCCUUCGGGUUGUAAAGUACUUUCAGCGGGGAGGAAGGCGGUGAGGUUAAUAACCUCGCCGAUUGGCGUUACCCGCAGAAGAAGCACCGGCUAACUCCGUGCCAGCCGCCGCCGUAA